GCUACACCAGAGGUAUGUCUCCUCUUGAAAGUUAAUCGCCUGAGAUGUCCAUUGCCUGAGCCGUCCAUCGCCUGAGCCCCUGUUUCAGUUUAUUUUUUCCACCUCGCUGCUCAACAGGUCCGUGGUUUACUACUCCUUUGCUCUUGCUGGUGACCGGCCUCCAGAGUAGCACUUGCUUGAGAUCUGAUCUAGAACUGAAUUGUGCCCUGCUUUGCUGUGGUCGUAUGCUCUGUGUCCACCGAUGAGUUUCAGAUACAGAUUAGGACCAAAAUUGGAGUAGGUUCAGUCACGCAAAUGUUGUAUCACUUUGUCAUGGGUAUUGUGCUGCUGAAUUGCUUGUUGGACUGUUCAAACUAAAGUCGUCCAGUCAGUUUGCUACAAUGUUCAUUUGUUUACUUUGGAAGUUCUGUAGAAUUUGGGCCUGAUCGCUUUCGAAUUUGUCUGUGGUUUGAGAUUAAUCUUUCCGAGAUGUUAGAGAGUGGGUCCAUUGAUGGAUCUGCCCAUCAGUGUGCAGAGGAUCUUCUAAUUCCUGCAACUAAUCUUGAUUCAUGGAUAUUGUGUUUGCUCUGUGGCGCACUAUGUUUCAGUUUAUUUUUUCUGAAAAAUUGGCGCUACUUCUGAUUGC
Molecule: long non-coding RNA, 625 nt
Filed under: Triticum aestivum (bread wheat)
Lineage: Eukaryota; Viridiplantae; Streptophyta; Magnoliopsida; Poales; Poaceae
Description: long non-coding RNA (TAES_LNC022005)
Source: RNAcentral